Molecule: transfer RNA, 74 nt
Filed under: Halohasta litorea
Lineage: Archaea; Methanobacteriati; Methanobacteriota; Halobacteria; Halobacteriales; Haloferacaceae
Also listed under: 5 other names
Description: tRNA-Lys
Rfam family: tRNA
About the family: Transfer RNA (tRNA) molecules are approximately 80 nucleotides in length. Their secondary structure includes four short double-helical elements and three loops (D, anti-codon, and T loops). Further hydrogen bonds mediate the characteristic L-shaped molecular structure. tRNAs have two regions of fundamental functional importance: the anti-codon, which is responsible for specific mRNA codon recognition, and the 3' end, to which the tRNAs corresponding amino acid is attached (by aminoacyl-tRNA synthetases). tRNAs cope with the degeneracy of the genetic code in two manners: having more than one tRNA (with a specific anti-codon) for a particular amino acid; and 'wobble' base-pairing, i.e. permitting non-standard base-pairing at the 3rd anti-codon position.
Source: RNAcentral
GGGCUGGUAGCUCAGUUUGGCAGAGCGACGGACUCUUAAUCCGUCGGUCGCGUGUUCAAAUCGCGUCCAGCCCG